UUCGGGGGACAAAGUGACAGGUGGUGCAUGGUUGUCGUCAGCUCGUGUCGUGAGAUGUUGGGUUAAGUCCCGCAACGAGCGCAACCCUUAAGCUUAGUUGCCAUCAUUAAGUUGGGCACUCUAGGUUGACUGCCGGUGACAAACCGGAGGAAGGUGGGGAUGACGUCAAAUCAUCAUGCCCCUUAUGAUUUGGGCUACACACGUGCUACAAUGGACAAUACAAAGGGCAGCUAAACCGCGAGGUCAUGCAAAUCCCGUAAAGUUGUUCUCAGUUCGGAUUGUAGUCUGCAACUCGACUACAUGAAGCUGGAAUCGCUAGUAAUCGUAGAUCAGCAUGCUACGGUGAAUACGUUCCCGGGUCUUGUACACACCGCCCGUCACACCACGAGAGUUUGUAACACCCGAAGCCGGUGGAGUAACCAUUUAUGGAGCUAGCCGUCGAAGGUGGGACAAAUGAUUGGGGUGAAGUCGUAACAAGGUAGCCGUAUCGGAAGGUGCGGC
This 501-nucleotide ribosomal RNA is filed under the name uncultured bacterium. Its description in RNAcentral is "bacterial SSU rRNA". It matches the Rfam family "Bacterial small subunit ribosomal RNA", at positions 1018 to 1518 of the family's 1533-position model. The record is from RNAcentral.